Molecule: antisense RNA, 75 nt
Filed under: Streptomyces sp. 840.1
Lineage: Bacteria; Bacillati; Actinomycetota; Actinomycetes; Kitasatosporales; Streptomycetaceae
Description: ASpks TB sRNA
Rfam family: ASpks TB sRNA
Source: RNAcentral
CUUGAGGGAGCCGAGCCACAGGGGCCGGUCCGCCUCGCGGCCCUGUCCGUAGACGUCGAGCAGGGCCUGGGCCUC